AGUGGGUAGUCCGCACGAGCGCACCCUGUCCUUAGUUGCCAGCACAUAAUGGUGGGGACUCUAAGGAGACUGCCUGGGAUAACCAGGAGGAAGGUGGGGAUGAUGUCAAGUCAGUAUGUCCCUUAUGUCCAGGGCUACACACGUGUUACAAUGGCCGGUACAAUGGGCUGCAAACCUGCGAGGGUAAGCCAAUCCCAAAAAACCGGCCCCAGUUCAGAUUGGAGUCUGCAACUCGACUCCAUGAAGGCGGAAUCGCUAGUAAUCGCGGAUCAGCACGCCGCGGUGAAUACGUUCCCGGGUCUUGUACACACCGCCCGUCAAGCCAUGGAAGUCGGCAGUACCCGAAGCCGGUGUCCCAACUCUUCGGAGAGGGAGCCGUCGAAGGUAAGGCUGGUAACUAGGGCUAAGUCGUAACAAGGUAGCCGUACCGGAAGGUGCGGCUGGAUCACCUCCUUUCU
RNAcentral lists this ribosomal RNA (458 nucleotides) under uncultured delta proteobacterium. Its description in RNAcentral is "bacterial SSU rRNA". It matches the Rfam family "Bacterial small subunit ribosomal RNA", at positions 1074 to 1533 of the family's 1533-position model. The record is from RNAcentral. Lineage: Bacteria; Deltaproteobacteria.